RNAcentral lists this long non-coding RNA (3467 nucleotides) under Homo sapiens (human). RNAcentral's name for it is "COX10 divergent transcript". The record is from RNAcentral. Lineage: Eukaryota; Metazoa; Chordata; Mammalia; Primates; Hominidae.
UCCGGCGGGCGGGCUCCGAAAGGAGAGCGUGGUGUCUGGAGGUGAUCGGAAGGGACUGGCUGGAGUGUGGCGGGCUGACAGGUCUGAGGCCUGAAGGACUUCCGGGAACCGCAAAGCACGGUGUGCCUCCGCUGUCCUGAAGAAAAAGCCGCGCGCGGACGACUGGCCGGCCCGCGCUUGCAGCUCCCAGAAGUUGACAGGCAUCCUCCGGUGACCGGUGUGAGUAUGGCAUCAGGAUGAUUUGACUGCAAGCAACAGAAAAAUCAAACAAAAAUGGCCUAAGCCAAGAAGAGAAAUGAUUAUUUCACAUUCCAAGAAGUUUGGGAGUCGAGUGGUUAAACGGCUAAUUAAUCUAGAGCUCAACAGUAUCACCCAGGACCCAUUUUCACUAUGGUGGCUAAAGCUCUGCACCCUUCAGGCUUGCACCAUGGCAGCAGCAGUGACAGUAAAGACACCCUUACACCACAAUGCUCCAUGACCAGGGAGAGGGUCUCCUCUCUCCUGCCCCUUUCUGGAGGCUCCACCGAAGAUUUCUCUUCACAUUCCGUUUCUCAUUCCUGAAGCAGUUGCUGGCAACAGGGAUGGACUUACCGCAAUGGGUACAGAGCAACUAAGAUUCACCACUAGGUGAGUCCUUUGGAAAACACUUGGCCAUCCAAUAUAUAAACAAAUCUGGUACUCCUGUCAGGAAAGAGGUAGGUAAUUCCCAACAGCCAAUAGUGUCUGCCACAAGUGAAAUAUCUCAUCAGAGAAAACUGAGUAGGUAAUACAUGAUUCUGUGUUUUCUCUGUUUUCUGCCUUUGCUUUUUCCAUUUGGUAAGACUCACCUGUGUUCCUCUUUGUGGCUCUUUCUCCUUGAUAAUACAACCCUGGUUUAGUUCAGAUACAGGUGGCAAUAGGCCAGAAUUUGUCCUAGGAGACAAAUUCGUGAUGAGCCUCGCAAAGUCAUGACAAUCCCAAUUCCAUUUGCCAGUGAACCAUUUAGGGAUGGCCACGUGACUCAGUUCUGGUCACCAAGGUGGUGGAAGAGAAGUUCUCUUGAGGGGCAUCUGGGAAAGAUUCUUCUGCCUGAUAAAACAGGAGCCUAUUCUUGAAUUUUUAUUCUUUCAUAUGCAUUUAAGAAUCAUCUUGUCAAGUUCUUCGAAAAACCCUACUGAAAUUUUUAUUGAAAUUGUAUUGAAUUUAUAUGUGAAUUUGGGAAAAAUUGUCUUUUUUUUUUUUUUGACGGAGUCUCGCUCUGUCACCCAGGCUGGAGUGCAGUGGUACAAUCUCAGCUCACGGCAAACUCGGCCUUCUAGAUUCACGCCAUUCUCCUGCCUCAGCCUCCCAAGUAGCUGGGACUACAGGCACCCACCACCUGGCCUGGCUAAUUUUUUUUGUAUUUUUAGUAGAGACGGGGUUUCACCAUGUUAGCCAGGAUGCUCUCGAUCUCCUGACGUCGUGAUCCGCCAGCCUCGGCCUCCCAAAGUGCUGGGAUUACAGGCGUGAGCCACAGCGCCCGGCCAAUUUCACAAAUAGAUUUUUUUUCUUACUGUAAAUCUUAGCAAGCUCAGCAUACGAAUUUUUUUUUCCUUAAAUUGAAAGCUUUUACCCUUUCACUUAAAGGCAGCACUUUAUGGCUUCUCUUGGGCAUAUCCAAAUUGCUACCAUCACUACUCGUAUUAGUCCAUUUUCACGCUGCUGAUAAAGACAUACCUGAGACUGAGAAAUUUACCAAAUAAAGAGGUGUACUGGACUUACAGUUCCACAUGGCUGGGGAGGCCUCACAAUCAUGGUGGAAGGCAAGAAGGAGCAAGUCAUGUCUUACAUGGAUGGCAGCUGGCAAAGAGAAAGCUUGUACAGGGAGACUCCCGUUUUGAAAACCAUCAGAUCUUGUGAGACUCAUUCACUAUUACAAGAACAGUGCAGGAAAGAUGCACCCCUGUACUUCAAUCACCUCCCAGCAGGUUCCUCCCACGACAUGUGGGAAUUGUGGGAGUUACAAUUCAAGAUGAGAUUUGGUUGGGGACACAGCCAAACCAUAUCACUACUCUUGUGCUUUGGGGCCAUUAUGAAGUAAAACAAGCAUUAUUUGAACACAAGAACUGCAAUACCACCACAGUAGAUCUGAUAACUGUUGGCUACUAAGUGACUAAGGGGCAGGUGAAGUAUACAGCUUGGAUGCGAUGGACAAAGAGGAAGAUCUACCUCCCAGCUGGGAUGGAGCAGGACGAUGCAAGAUUUCAUCACACUACUCAGAAAGGCAUGCAGUUUAAAGCUCGUAAAUUAUUUCAGGAAUUUUCCAUUUAAUAUUUUCAGGCUGUGGCUGACCGUGAGUAACAAACCCAGGAAAGCGAAACUGCAGAACAGUGGAUGGGAGAAAGGGUGAAUUACUGUAUAUUCAUGAGGGAUAUUAGUCCAUAGUUUCUUUUUUCCCUUUUAACAAAUUUUUGGGUUUUGUAUAUAGUUUGUCUGGUUUUGGUAUCAGGGUAAUACUAGCUUCAUAAAAUGAAUUGGAAAGCGUUUCUUCUGUUUUCCUAAAAAGAUUAUAUGGAAUUAGCAUUCAUUCUUUAAACACUUGGUAGAAAUCUUAAGUAAAACCAUCUGAGCUCGGAGAUUUUUUUGUGUGUGUUAUAAAAUUACAUAUUCAGUUUCCUUAAUAUUUAUAAGAUCAUUUUAAUUAUCUGUGUUUUUCAGUGAAACGGGUCAAUUUUCUGUAUGUUGUCAAAUUAAUAUUUGUAGAAUUGUAUUAGUAUUCUUCAUUAUCCUUUUGAUGUCUGCAGAAUCUGUAAUGGUAUCCCUGUUUUAUUUCUGAUAUUAAUUUGUGCCAUUAUGUCUUUUUUUCUUUGUUGAUCUUGUCAGAAGUUUGUCAAUUUUAUCAAUUUGUUCCAAGAACCAGCUCAUUGAUUUGGUUUCAGUUUCAUUGAUUUCUACUUUUAUCUUUAUUAUUUCCUUCUUUUUCUUGCUUUUGGUAUAUUUUGUGCUUCUUUUUCUAGGUUCUAGAGGUGGAAGCAUACGUUAUUGAUUUGAGACCUUUCCUCUUUUCUAAUGUGAGCAUUUUAGUUACAUUUAGUUCCCUCCUAGGACUACUUUAAUUGGAUUAUUGAGAGGUGUUGAAGUCUCCAACUGUAUUUGUGGAUUUAUUUAUUUUUCCUUUCAGUUCUAUUAGUUUUAGCUUCACAUUAUUUUGCAGCUCUGAUGUUUAAAGGUGCAUGAACAUUUAGGCUCACUAUGUCUCAGUGAAUUGACCCUUUUAUCAUUACGUAAUAUUCCUCUCAGUCUCUGGUCAUUUUCUUUGUGCUGAAAUAUACUUUAUCUGAUAAUAUAAUGACUGUUCCCUGUAGAUUAAUAUUUUCAGGAUGUAUCAUUUUUAUUUUUUUAUUUUCAACCUGCCUGUAAUCAUUAUAUUUGCAGUGAAUUUUUUCUAGACACUGUAUAGUUGAAUCAUUUAAAAAAGUCUGCUCUGGCAAUGUGUCUUUUAAUUGGUG